Molecule: ribosomal RNA, 482 nt
Filed under: uncultured bacterium
Lineage: Bacteria
Description: partial 16S ribosomal RNA
Rfam family: Bacterial small subunit ribosomal RNA
Source: RNAcentral
AUUGAACGCUGGCGGCAUGCUUUACACAUGCAAGUCGAACGGUAACAGGCCGCAAGGUGCUGACGAGUGGCGAACGGGUGCGUAAUGCAUCGGAACGUGCCCAGUCGUGGGGGAUAACUACUCGAAAGAGUAGCUAAUACCGCAUACGAUCUAUGGAUGAAAGCGGGGGACCGUAAGGCCUCGCGCGAUUGGAGCGGCCGAUGUCAGAUUAGGUAGUUGGUGGGGUAAAGGCUCACCAAGCCAACGAUCUGUAGCUGGUCUGAGAGGACGACCAGCCACGCUGGGACUGAGACACGGCCCAGACUCCUACGGGAGGCAGCAGUGGGGAAUUUUGGACAAUGGGCGCAAGCCUGAUCCAGCAAUGCCGCGUGCAGGAAGAAGGCCUUCGGGUUGUAAACUGCUUUUGUACGGAACGAAACGGCUCUGGUUAAUACCCGGGGCUAAUGACGGUACCGUAAGAAUAAGCACCGGCUAACUACGUG